RNAcentral lists this ribosomal RNA (533 nucleotides) under Bifidobacterium breve. RNAcentral describes it as "bacterial SSU rRNA". It matches the Rfam family "Bacterial small subunit ribosomal RNA", at positions 157 to 700 of the family's 1533-position model. The record is from RNAcentral. Lineage: Bacteria; Bacillati; Actinomycetota; Actinomycetes; Bifidobacteriales; Bifidobacteriaceae.
CGGGUGGUAAUGCCGGAUGCUCCAUCACACCGCAUGGUGUUUUGGGAAAGCCUUUGCGGCAUGGGAUGGGGUCGCGUCCUAUCAGCUUGAUGGCGGGGUAACGGCCCACCAUGGCUUCGACGGGUAGCCGGCCUGAGAGGGCGACCGGCCACAUUGGGACUGAGAUACGGCCCAGACUCCUACGGGAGGCAGCAGUGGGGAAUAUUGCACAAUGGGCGCAAGCCUGAUGCAGCGACGCCGCGUGAGGGAUGGAGGCCUUCGGGUUGUAAACCUCUUUUGUUAGGGAGCAAGGCAUUUUGUGUUGAGUGUACCUUUCGAAUAAGCACCGGCUAACUACGUGCCAGCAGCCGCGGUAAUACGUAGGGUGCAAGCGUUAUCCGGAAUUAUUGGGCGUAAAGGGCUCGUAGGCGGUUCGUCGCGUCCGGUGUGAAAGUCCAUCGCUUAACGGUGGAUCCGCGCCGGGUACGGGCGGGCUUGAGUGCGGUAGGGGAGACUGGAAUUCCCGGUGUAACGGUGGAAUGUGUAGAUAUCGG